UACGUAGGUGGCAAGCGUUGUCCGGAUUUACUGGGCGUAAAGGGCGUGCAGGCGGUCUGUUAAGUCUGGCGUGAAAGCUCUCGGCUAAACCGGGAGAGGUCGUUGGAUACUGACGGACUAGAGGACGGUAGAGGCGUGUGGAAUUCCGGGUGUAGUGGUGAAAUGCGUAGAGAUCCGGAGGAACACCAGUGGCGAAGGCGACACGCUGGGCCGUACCUGACGCUAAGACGCGACAGCAUGGGGAGCGAACGGG
Molecule: ribosomal RNA, 253 nt
Filed under: uncultured bacterium
Lineage: Bacteria
Description: partial 16S ribosomal RNA
Rfam family: Bacterial small subunit ribosomal RNA
Source: RNAcentral